GGUUUAAUAGCUCAGUUGGUAGAGCAACGGACUGAAAAUCCGUGUGUCAGUAGUUCAAUUUUACUUUAAACCA
Molecule: transfer RNA, 73 nt
Filed under: Candidatus Vidania fulgoroideorum
Lineage: Bacteria; Pseudomonadati; Pseudomonadota; Betaproteobacteria
Description: Candidatus Vidania fulgoroideae tRNA-Phe
Rfam family: tRNA
About the family: Transfer RNA (tRNA) molecules are approximately 80 nucleotides in length. Their secondary structure includes four short double-helical elements and three loops (D, anti-codon, and T loops). Further hydrogen bonds mediate the characteristic L-shaped molecular structure. tRNAs have two regions of fundamental functional importance: the anti-codon, which is responsible for specific mRNA codon recognition, and the 3' end, to which the tRNAs corresponding amino acid is attached (by aminoacyl-tRNA synthetases). tRNAs cope with the degeneracy of the genetic code in two manners: having more than one tRNA (with a specific anti-codon) for a particular amino acid; and 'wobble' base-pairing, i.e. permitting non-standard base-pairing at the 3rd anti-codon position.
Source: RNAcentral